Molecule: transfer RNA, 76 nt
Filed under: Chloroflexaceae bacterium
Lineage: Bacteria; Bacillati; Chloroflexota; Chloroflexia; Chloroflexales; Chloroflexaceae
Description: tRNA-Ala
Rfam family: tRNA
About the family: Transfer RNA (tRNA) molecules are approximately 80 nucleotides in length.
Source: RNAcentral
GGGACGGUAGCUCAGUUGGGAGAGCACCUGCUUUGCACGCAGGGGGUCAGGGGUUCAAGUCCCCUCCGUUCCACCA